GUAUCAGCAGCAACUAUGGCUGGUAUCAGCAGCAACUAUGGCUGGUAUCAGCAGAAGGUCCCUGGCAGUGCCCCUGUCACUGUGAUCUACAACAAUGACAAGAGACCCUCGGGCAUCCCUUCGCGAUUCUCCGGAUCCAAGUCCGGCUCCACGGCCACGUUAACCAUCACUGGGGUCCAAGCCGAGGACGAGGCUGUCUAUUUCUGUGGUGGCUAUGACAGCAGCAAUAAUGGUGUAUUCGGGGCCGGGACGACGCUGACGGUCACAGGCCAGCCCCAGGUUGCUCCCACCGUCCACCUCUUCGCGCCAUCCUCCGAGGAGUUGUCACAGGGCAAAGCCACCGUGGUGUGCCUGGUUGAGAACUUCUACCCAAGGGAUGUGUCGGUGGAAUGGGUGGCUGACGGCAAGACCAUCACCAGUGGUGUGGAGACCAGCCAGUCCCAGCAGCAGAGCAAUGCCCAGCAGCAGAGCAGCACCCGGUACUUAGCCAGCAGUUACCUGUCUCUGACUCCCACCGAAUGGCAGAGUUACAAUUCUGUCUCGUGCAAGGUCAGGCACGUGGCUGGAAACGUGGAGAAGACCCUGAACACAUCCGAGUGCGCCUAAGCCACCCUGCCGGCCCUUUGCUGGCUCCCUCCCUCCUCUCCACUCUGCCCAUGUCCGCCCGUCCCCUGCUCCUGUCCCGCCACUGUGAGUGUCACACAAAUAAACAGCGACACUGAACUAGCGCUGGCUCAGCA
Non-coding RNA from Taeniopygia guttata (zebra finch), 740 nucleotides. The record is from the annotation of a RefSeq genome assembly. Lineage: Eukaryota; Metazoa; Chordata; Aves; Passeriformes; Estrildidae.